This 25-nucleotide ribosomal RNA is filed under the name Potamon hippocrate. Its description in RNAcentral is "partial 16S ribosomal RNA". The record is from RNAcentral. Lineage: Eukaryota; Metazoa; Arthropoda; Malacostraca; Decapoda; Potamidae.
UAAAUAACUAAAAUAUUUUUAUAUA